UCCUUGGUAGUCUAGUGGUUAGGAUUCUGCACUUCCACUGCUGGGGCCAGGGUUUAAGCCCUGGUAGGGGG
RNAcentral lists this transfer RNA (71 nucleotides) under Bos taurus (domestic cattle). It matches the Rfam family "tRNA". From Rfam's summary of the family: Transfer RNA (tRNA) molecules are approximately 80 nucleotides in length. Their secondary structure includes four short double-helical elements and three loops (D, anti-codon, and T loops). RNAcentral also lists the same sequence under 1 other name. Lineage: Eukaryota; Metazoa; Chordata; Mammalia; Artiodactyla; Bovidae. The record is from Rfam by way of RNAcentral.